AGAAUCAGAAGAUCAUUAUUAAUAACGUCAUAACAAAGAAUUUCAUUAGAAAAAGAAAUUGAGCAACUAUUGCUCUUUUCAUUUAUUUCAAAAUCUCAUUGCAAUAGCAACGGUAUAAAAAAAAUGUUCCUAAUAAUCUUAGGCAUAUAACAAUAGUUUUCUAGCUCUAAGAUCUUCCCACAAGGUAACUCAAAUAUAUAUGUCCCUAUAGCUUCUGCCU
This 220-nucleotide long non-coding RNA is filed under the name Elaeis guineensis (African oil palm). Its description in RNAcentral is "long non-coding RNA (EGUI_LNC078950)". Lineage: Eukaryota; Viridiplantae; Streptophyta; Magnoliopsida; Arecales; Arecaceae. The record is from RNAcentral.